AUGGCCUCUCCCAAGGAGGCUCACAAUGGGCGCGGACAUAUUGCUCGCUAAGGAGCCUACGAAAUCCAAUCUCGUUGGCGUCCUUACGUCCUCGUCGGCCGCCUAGGUUUCCUGGAUUUAAACGCCAGAAACGGAGGCACUCCCAGAAUUCGCCUAGCCACCUGUAGAUCUUGUUGGCCUAACCGGAAGCAAGAGCUACAUUUGCAUCAACUGCUGCCACACCCCUCCCCUGCCCCAGGCUACUGCUGUUGCUACUCUCUGAGGAGCCCACAGAAGACCACACUUUAGGUGCAAACAAGGAGGGGCAUGGGGCCUACCGCCACUGUCCCUAAAAUCUGCAAACUGCAAUGG
Heterocephalus glaber (naked mole-rat) is the source of this 351-nucleotide long non-coding RNA. Lineage: Eukaryota; Metazoa; Chordata; Mammalia; Rodentia; Bathyergidae. The record is from Ensembl.